Molecule: long non-coding RNA, 498 nt
Organism: Carcharodon carcharias (great white shark)
Lineage: Eukaryota; Metazoa; Chordata; Chondrichthyes; Lamniformes; Lamnidae
Exons: 3
Source: RefSeq, a predicted model, not a curated record
GCUCUUUCAUCUUAUUUUAUGGUUCUGGGGCUCCAGUGAUUGACAGCAGCUUCUCUCACUGGCUUGGAGAGACGCUUUCCGUUAAUGUUUAAUACGAUUCACAUCAACCACUCGCUCUGGUAAAUUCCACAUUCUCACCACUCUUUGGGUAAAGAAGUUUCUUCUGAUAGAGUUUGUGAAGAUGAACAGACUGCUCAAGCAGAAAAACCCAGGAUCUCUUGGAGGAAAGCAAGUGGAAGAUCGUAGACAAUGUGAGAUUUCGUCUGCCCUUGGAUGAGGUUUCACCGAAAAUGUAAAGCCUGCCUGGCCUUUUGCCCCAUCCGCCAACUGCGAGGUUGGACAGGCCAUGAAAAAUUGCUUAUAACCGGGCUGUUAAUGAACAAAGAACAAAGAAAAGAAAAGUACAGCACAGGAACAGGCCCUUUGGCCCUCCAAGCCUGCACCGAACAUAUUGCCCAUCCACUAAAACAUUUUGCACUUCCGGGGUCCGUACCCCUC